UGGGGAAUUUUGGACAAUGGGCGCAAGCCUGAUCCAGCCAUGCCGCGUGCGGGAAGAAGGCCUUCGGGUUGUAAACCGCUUUUGUCAGGGAAGAAACGGUCUGGGCUACUUCCCCGGACUAAUGACGGUACCUGAAGAAUAAGCACCGGCUAACUACGUGCCAGCAGCCGCGAUAAUACGUAGGGUGCAAGCGUUAAUCGGAAUUACUGGGCGUAAAGCGUGCGCAGGCGGUUAUGCAAGACAGAUGUGAAAUCCCCGGGCUUAACCUGGGAACUGCAUUUGUGACUGCAUAGCUAGAGUACGGUAGAGGGGGAUGGAAUUCCGCGUGUAGCAGUGAAAUGCGUAGAUAUGCGGAGGAACACCGAUGGCGAAGGCAAUCCCCUGGACCUGUACUGACGCUCAUGCACGAAAGCGUGGGGAGCAAACA
RNAcentral lists this ribosomal RNA (427 nucleotides) under uncultured bacterium. RNAcentral describes it as "bacterial SSU rRNA". It matches the Rfam family "Bacterial small subunit ribosomal RNA", at positions 355 to 774 of the family's 1533-position model. The record is from RNAcentral.